AUUUAUAAAAUGAAUUCAGAUCUUUUUGUUAAAGCUCAUUUAAAUAUUACAAAUAUGCUGCUAUUCGUUUUUAUGAUGAUUUCUCCCUUUGGGAGGCAUAAGAGUACAGGUUUGGAAACCUUAACGCAAACCAAACUUUAUGCUGGCAAUUUAAUUCUGCAAAACUCCUGGUUUAUGCUAUUUUUAAAAGUCUGCGUUUCCCUCCAACACUUAAAAGAUAGACACUCAAAACUCAAUAAGAUCUUCUAGAAAUUAAAAGGAUUUAAUUAGAUGAACCACAGUUUCUAAAUUAACUGCUUUUCACACACAUCCUUAGACCUGUGGUAGGUCAGGACUCAAUCUGAAUUGGGGAUUCAGCUGAAUUGCCUUUUUGGUGAGAAUCCCCGAUGGCCUCAUCGGAGAAUUUUUUACUUAAUAAAAAUAAAAGAGGGAGUUCCCCUUCCUUGCAUUUUUCGAAGCACUAAUUUUCUUCUAAUAUUUUGGGUAGUGCUUCAGGUUGGAGACAAAUGAGAUCACUAAACCCCGCCAGUGUGUGGACUCUGGGGCACAGUCUUCCAGUCCCCGAAGUUAAAUGUUUAGUUUGGGAAGGAGCGAGAGGGUUCCUACUAUUGUGGCAGGCUGCUUGGGGCAGGGGGUGUUCUCAAAUUACUGCUCCCUCACCGGGAAAGCCCGAACACAUCACGCUCAGUACGGGACGGAGAGCGAGACCACGCGGGGACUUCCGCCGGGCCAGGGCCAUUUGGGAACUGCGGCACCUAUACCAGCUCGGCGAAAACCAUCAUUAACGCGCCUUCGGAGCCACUCGGAGAGCCAGCCCACAGCCAGAGAGAAGAGUUUAGCCAGAGGUGUCCAGCUGUGGGGGAAGGGAGGGGAGGGGAGGAGUCUGGAGAGAUUCAGCCACACCUUCCCAGGUUCUGUCACUUUAAGGCAAACAGAAAUUCCCGAGUCCCGCCCCCUUCCCGAACAUCAGCUUACAAUUGGCUUACAGAGAUGCCAGUUGUGGACGGAGGUUUCAUCAUCUUCAGGCAUGGGGUUUUCCCAUUGGCCCAGGCGCUGGUGGUUUGUAAAUGGUACUGGAAAGGGGGAGGGGAGGAGGGUGUGCGAACGAGCGCGAGCGCGGCCCGGGCGGGAGCGGGAGGCUGGUUGGUUUCGCAAUCGCUUCUCGCCGUCCGCCGGUUCCAACUCUUCGAAGUCAGGCGUCGGGGUCGCGCCGCAGUGGGGGCCUCGCUGGGUCCGCCUCGGGUGGAGGCCCCCUAGUUUGAAGAAACUGGCAUGCUCCUUCCUUAUCCAUCAGAGUGAACUGGAACCUUGCCUUCCACUUCUUUCUGAGUCCAGUUCACUAAUUGGAUAUACAAAGUAUUCAUUGUGGAUGAUCAUGUAAUAUCCUGAGAGUCAACUGGAAAAAGAGGUGCAUGUGAAGAUUUCUUGGCAGCUUAGUGUGGAAAUUGUUGGUCACUUGCUUCUUCGCCCCUUCUUCUCCCUUGCCCCCAAUUUCUAACUCUGUUGUGGUUCAAGAAGAGCCUGUCCAAAUGAGCAAGACAUCCCAACAGAGCAGUACUGCAGGAGCUAAUGGAAUAAGUGUUAUUCACACACAAGCACAUGCCAGUGGUUUACAGCAGGUUCCUCAGGUGGUGCCAGUCAGCCCUGGAGGAGGAGGCAAAGCUACACCUCCCAGCAAACAAAGCAAAAAAAGUUCAUCAAUGGAUAGGAACAGUGAUGAGUAUCGACAGCGAAGAGAACGGAACAACAUGGCAGUGAAAAAGAGUCGGUUAAAAAGCAAGCAAAAAGCCCAGGAUACCUUACAAAGGGUCAACCAGCUAAAAGAAGAGAAUGAACGCUUGGAAGCAAAAAUUAAACUGCUGACUAAAGAAUUAAGUGUACUUAAAGAUUUGUUUCUUGAGCAUGCACACAACCUGGCAGACAACGUACAGCCUAUGAGCACUGAAAGCACUACCCCAAAUCCUGAGAGCACGGGACAGUAGUGAGGAUACGGCAGUCUGGGCGAACUGAACUCCAGAAGGUGUGACUGACUGACUCCACUCACUUUAGUAUCAAUGCUGAUCUAUUCUAAUAUUUAAAGAUCCUUUUGGGGAUAUUUUCUAGGUGAAGCACUGAAGAUUUGACUAGCCUAAAAUGUUAACUUGUUUGAAGUAAUAAGUUGCUUUUUAUCAAAAGUCAGAGAAUUUUUUCAAAGAUAUAAAAAAAUCUUAGAACUUUUUGUUAUUGCUAAGUCUUGGAUUUUCUCAGAAAUGCUCAUUAUCCCUUUUGGCAUGGAGAAGUAGGAAUGUACCUGAGAAUUGGCAGAUUGGGCAUAAGAUUUUAAUGAAUGAACAUAAUUGGCUGAAAAAGACUAAUGUUAAAUAUUAUUUUAAGAAAGUAUACAUCUACUCUACAGUAAAAAUUGGCUGUUGAUGACAGAUCAGUAUAUAAUAUGAGGGCUAUAAAUACAUUGUCUGAACAUAAUUAGAAGUUUUUCCCUAGUUGGCAUAAAUUGCUUCUCAAUAGUAUGGUUCAAUGACAUUGGCUAAAGUGUUACAAUUGAUUAUUAUAAACAGUGGAUUGUAAAUGUUAUAUAGCAAAUUGAAAUUGGCAUACCAAAAUUGUAAAUGGUUUCCUAGAAUUAAGGGAGCAAGUGGAUUUGUAUUCUUAUAAGCCUCUAUAUCAGUGAAAUUUGUUAGAAUUCUCCGUUUAGGUUUUCUGGGACUAUUGGACUAUUAUUAUUUUCCUUUGUUUUGUGCAAAAUAUCAGGAAUGUUUAGAACAACUCAGAAAAACUGAAGUGUCUAAAAUAUUAGUUUCAAAGAAUUGUUAAAAUAGGCAUUUUUGGCUACCUAUUAUUGAAAAGGACUUCACAUAGUGUACUAGCAGCCUUUUCAGUAUUUGGUUCAAGAGAAUGUUUUAUUGAGAAGGGAACUUUUCUUUGGUCACAUUUUAUAAGGGAACAUUCAUUAAAAAGAGUAAUUUCUUUAAAAUUUUAACAAAAGAGUGUGAUUAUUAGAAAAUAUGUGGUUGACUUCUUACCUUUUCCCCCAAUACAGUGGCAAUAUACUAUUAAGCUGGCUUUUAAAAAGAGAAGCUAAGAUGUCAAACCUUUUUAACUUAUUUCAUAAUUUGUAAUAUGGACCUGGCAUAUUUCUUGUUUGGUCAUCACACUAUAUUCUUCCAAAUCUUUUUUGCACCGUUUACUUCCAUUCAUUAGCUUUUAAACUUGUGUGCCCUAGAAAUGUAUUUAGAAAGAAUAUGUUGGUGAGAAAAUUGUUAGGAUGCCAAUAGAGAAAGUACAAAAUUAUAUUUGAUAGUUAAUUUUAUUUUGUGAAUAAAAAUGUCAGAGGGAAGCUCUAGAGACUGUUC
This 3350-nucleotide long non-coding RNA is filed under the name Monodelphis domestica (gray short-tailed opossum). Its description in RNAcentral is "lncRNA (ENSMODG00000032021.2)". The record is from RNAcentral. Lineage: Eukaryota; Metazoa; Chordata; Mammalia; Didelphimorphia; Didelphidae.